CCCUAACCUCCCACUGCUGUAUUGUACUUUACUUUAUUUUACUUUAUUAUUUAUUUAUUUUACAUUAUUUACAUUUCUAUUUGGUAUACUGUUGUUCUUGUUCUAUUUAUUUAUUUAUUUAUUUCUCGAAUGCACCAAUUGGGAAAGCUUACUAAAAAUUUCGUUGUACUUGACUCGUGCAAUGACAAUAAAAGGCUUUCUAUUCUAUUCUAUUUCUAUUCUAUCAGUAAUAGGUAAAGUAAAUCACCAUGGAUGUAUUUUACCGGGCUUAAGGAAAAACUGUAAAACCGCCCGCAGACAUGGCACCCAAAAGACAUUACAAAGAAUAUCUGCUGGAUGAGUCGAGCCAACCUUCAAAGGCAACCAAAUACAGACGGCUAGCAAACAAGAAAGAGAAUACUUUAAACUGCAGAGGGAAUUACAAGAAUUACCUCAGGGCAUCCUGUACAACUAACAAUAAAGAGGUUGUGAAAGAGAUUCCACUUUCAAAUAACGGUGAACGAACAUAUUCUCUGGAGGAAUAUCCAGGAGACAAUCCCACAACUAACAAACAGAAUGUUCCCGAUGAGGGCCUUGUUGCAGAAGGACCAAGCGAUCAGUCAUCUUUAGAAUGUUUGAGAGGAAAGCAUCUUGUCAGUCCAAUAAGAGAGCACCUGCUUCAGGACAGACCCAACAGAGAUUCAUCAGAGCCUGCCGGAGAGGGAGUCUCCAGAAAGACCCACCCAGUGCUAGAAUUGCCACCCUCCACCUACUCACACCGCACUUUUCAAUUUUGUGGGGAUCAACAAGAUAUGCAAAUCGGACCAGAAGCACAGGACAUGUUAGAGAAGCAACCAGGAUCCAAUGUGCCUGCUACUCCACCUCAUCAGCAAGAGACACCAAACCAACAGGCAGAGACAUUUUUGUUGGAUGGAGAUGAUCCAGCGUAUCCUGGAGCUCCACUGACAAAGGGACAAAGUUUAAUCUUACUGAUGUCUUAUGUACUAAGGCACAAUGUGACAGGUGUGGCACUUGAACAUCUACUGAACAUUGUCAAUGAACAUUUCCCUGGAAUGGUACCAGUAACCACAUACCUUUUUCACAAAGCUUAUGGACAAUAUGGAAAUUAUGUCCCCCAUUUUUACUGUCCAGCAUGUGAAAACUACUUAGGGGUAAAUAAUACCAGUGAACUAAUGUGUGGUGCUUGUAAUGCAGUAACUGAUUCAGAGAGCUGUCUCAAAAGUGGGUGUUUCUUUCUAGUGCUUAGUUUGGCUUCACAAAUCAAAACAUUGCUUGAACAAAACCAAGGUUUAAAAAAAGACUGGCAAUGUGCAUAUGUCAUUUCAGAUAUACAGUGUGGAGAAGAGUACCAGAAACUCAAAGAAUCAGGUGAAUUAGGUUGGUUUUUGUAUGUUUGAUCGAAGGAAGAUUGCAUCUACGAUGGCGAGCUUUGCCCAAUAGAACUGUGGAUGGUGUGGAUACGGCGUGGCCAGCCGUGAACACCACCAUAGAAGACCCUUGUGAAGAUCCAUUCAUAACAGAUAAGACAUAGAAAUAGAUACACGCUAACCUACCCGGGUAGUAGUAAGAGAAACACACAUAUCCGGAUAUCCCCCCCCUUGAACUCGACAUUCCUCGACCGAACAACUCCUUUCCCAAGGAGUACUGUAGCUGGGGAAUCCAGCUACAAAGGACUUAUUCUUUUGAUUUUGUUUGUUUGUUAUUAUUGUUAUUAUGUUAUUUUCAAAAGCUUUAUUUUGUACCAAAUGUAAAUGUUUAUGAUGAAAGGCAUUAAAAUAGCUCAUCUAUUCAACCAACACCAACUCCCUUUGUGAGUCAUUAGUGUUUAACUUCUUUAAGGACCUAGAGUGAUGCUAGCAUCCUAUCUGCCCCUUCCGGCUAAGACCACGGGUGCUACAUUUGUAUAUAUAAUAUCACGGCCAAAAGCUCUGUGCGCCUCCGGAUGGCCGUAGCGGGGAGCUCUCAUAGGGAUUGGGCUUCUCGGGGUUUGUUUACCGGCGUUGCUAUGUAUCCGGUCUUGUGUGUUCCAAUGGUUUAUUAGGUAGGCCUAUCUAAUAAAUCUCUGUCUAUUCAAUACUUCAUUCACU
This 2087-nucleotide long non-coding RNA is filed under the name Gadus morhua (Atlantic cod). RNAcentral describes it as "lncRNA (ENSGMOG00000029776.1)". Lineage: Eukaryota; Metazoa; Chordata; Actinopteri; Gadiformes; Gadidae. The record is from RNAcentral.